RNAcentral lists this ribosomal RNA (253 nucleotides) under uncultured bacterium. RNAcentral describes it as "partial 16S ribosomal RNA". It matches the Rfam family "Bacterial small subunit ribosomal RNA", at positions 524 to 776 of the family's 1533-position model. The record is from RNAcentral.
UACGAAGGGGGCUAGCGUUGCUCGGAAUCACUGGGCGUAAAGGGCGCGUAGGCGGAUCUUUAAGUCGGGGGUGAAAGCCCAGGGCUCAACCCUGGAAUUGCCUUCGAUACUGAAGAUCUCGAGACCGGAAGAGGUAAGUGGAACUGCGAGUGUAGAGGUGAAAUUCGUAGAUAUUCGCAAGAACACCAGUGGCGAAGGCGGCUUUCUGGCCUGUUCUUGACGCUGAGGCGCGAAAGCUAGGGGAGCGAACGGG